RNAcentral lists this unclassified non-coding RNA (682 nucleotides) under Caenorhabditis elegans. Its description in RNAcentral is "Non-coding transcript of protein-coding gene Y39H10B.2c". The record is from RNAcentral. Lineage: Eukaryota; Metazoa; Nematoda; Chromadorea; Rhabditida; Rhabditidae.
GAGAGCCUACUUCGGAAGAGCAAAUUGCAUGGCGUCAAGCUGAAAAUGAUGUUGCUCAACAAGAGAGAGAUGCCGAAACCCGUAAACUGAUCCUUCUCACAAUGGAGCAAUCUCGUCAGCAAAGUGAAGCCAUGAUUUCCCAAAUGAAAACUCAAACGGAAGAGUUUCAACGGAUAGUUCAAGAACUGAAAGAUGAUGCGGAUGAAAGAAGAAACCGGGCUCAAACCAGCUUGGACAAUUCGGAGUAUGAAACCCUGGUACAACAACGUCAAAAACUGAUCGAAAAUUCUGAAAAAAGCCAGCAGGAAACCAAGGAGCAAUUGGAAAAAAUCGUGGAGCUGCAAAGAAAAUCUUGUGAUCAAAACAAAGAAAAAUUCACAGCUCUGGAAUUGCAGUUGCAAGAAACUAAUGAGAGAAUGCAGAAACAAUUAGAUGAAUUAAACGCCAAGUUUGAGGAUGUGAACAGGAAAUUGCAAAAGGCAAGUGAUUGUAACGCUGACACGGAAAAAGAAAAUGAAGAAGGAGUCAGUGAUAAUGGAACCGAUGAUUCCUGGGAUGUUGUCACUGUGCAAAGAUCGAGUCUUUGAGAUUUUUCUGGAAAAUAUUUCUAAAUUUCGGAAUAAAUAUAUUUAUUGAACAUGUUUAGAUGGAUCCUGUACAAAAAUAAAAUUAAUAUUUUGCA